UCCGGUUUGUCACCGGCAGUCUCAUUAGAGUGCCCAACUAAAUGUAGCAACUAAUGACAAGGGUUGCGCUCGUUGCGGGACUUAACCCAACAUCUCACGACACGAGCUGACGACAGCCAUGCAGCACCUGUGUUCCGAUUCCCUUUCGGGCACACCCACAUCUCUGCGGGCUCUCGGACAUGUCAAGGGUAGGUAAGGUUUUUCGCGUUGCAUCGAAUUAAUCCACAUAAUCCACCGCUUGUGCGGGUCCCCGUCAAUUCCUUUGAGUUUUAACCUUGCGGCCGUACUCCCCAGGCGGUCGACUUCACGCGUUAGCUGCGGCACGGAAAGGACUGAACCUCCCCACACCUAGUCGUCAUCGUUUACAGCGUGGACUAC
This 378-nucleotide unclassified non-coding RNA is filed under the name uncultured Gammaproteobacteria bacterium. RNAcentral describes it as "contains 16S-23S intergenic spacer region". The record is from RNAcentral. Lineage: Bacteria; Pseudomonadati; Pseudomonadota; Gammaproteobacteria.